Molecule: ribosomal RNA, 717 nt
Filed under: Enterobacter hormaechei
Lineage: Bacteria; Pseudomonadati; Pseudomonadota; Gammaproteobacteria; Enterobacterales; Enterobacteriaceae
Description: bacterial SSU rRNA
Rfam family: Bacterial small subunit ribosomal RNA
Source: RNAcentral
GCCUAACACAUGCAAGUCGAACGGUAACAGGAAGCAGCUUGCUGCUUCGCUGACGAGUGGCGGACGGGUGAGUAAUGUCUGGGAAACUGCCUGAUGGAGGGGGAUAACUACUGGAAACGGUAGCUAAUACCGCAUAACGUCGCAAGACCAAAGAGGGGGACCUUCGGGCCUCUUGCCAUCGGAUGUGCCCAGAUGGGAUUAGCUAGUAGGUGGGGUAACGGCUCACCUAGGCGACGAUCCCUAGCUGGUCUGAGAGGAUGACCAGCCACACUGGAACUGAGACACGGUCCAGACUCCUACGGGAGGCAGCAGUGGGGAAUAUUGCACAAUGGGCGCAAGCCUGAUGCAGCCAUGCCGCGUGUAUGAAGAAGGCCUUCGGGUUGUAAAGUACUUUCAGCGGGGAGGAAGGCGAUAAGGUUAAUAACCUUGUCGAUUGACGUUACCCGCAGAAGAAGCACCGGCUAACUCCGUGCCAGCAGCCGCGGUAAUACGGAGGGUGCAAGCGUUAAUCGGAAUUACUGGGCGUAAAGCGCACGCAGGCGGUCUGUCAAGUCGGAUGUGAAAUCCCCGGGCUCAACCUGGGAACUGCAUUCGAAACUGGCAGGCUAGAGUCUUGUAGAGGGGGGUAGAAUUCCAGGUGUAGCGGUGAAAUGCGUAGAGAUCUGGAGGAAUACCGGUGGCGAAGGCGGCCCCCUGGACAAAGACUGACGCUUCAGG